AGAGUUUGAUUCUGGCUCAGAACGAACGCUGGCAGCGUGGAUUAGGCAUGCAAGACGAACGUGAAGCCGACGAUCAAUCUUUCGAGAGAGUGAAUCGGUGGAAAGUGGCGGAAGGGUGAGUAACGCGUGGGUAACCUACCCCCGGGCUGGGGAUAACUCAGCGAAAGCGGGGCUAAUACCGAAUGUGAUCCCCCGGCGCCUGUCGGGGUGAUUAAAGGCGGGGACCCUUCGGGGCCUGCCGUCCGGGGAGGGGCCCGCGUCCUAUCAGCUUGUUGGUGAGGUAACGGCUCACCAAGGCUUACGGGUAGCUGGUCUGAGAGGAUGGUCAGCCACACUGGGACUGAGACACUGCCCAGACUCCUACGGGAGGCUGCAGUCGAGGAUCAUUCGCAAUGCGCGAAAGCGUGACGAUGCGACGCUGCGUGGAGGAUGACGGCCUUCGGGUUGUAAACUCCUGUCAUCUGGGAGCAACGGGCCGGUUCCUAAUAGGGGCCGGAUUUGAUAGUACCAGAAGAGGAAGCCACGGCCAACUCUGUGCCAGCAGCCGCGGUAAGACAGAGGUGGCAAGCGUUGUUCGGAUUUACUGGGCGUAAAGCGUGCGUAGGUGGUUUCGUGUGUCGGGUGUGAAAGCUCAUCGCUCAACGGUGAAAUUGCAUUCGAAACUGCAGGACUAGAGUGUGGGAGAGGAGAGCGGAAUUCAUGGUGUAGCGGUGAAAUGCGUUGAUAUCAUGAAGAACACCGGUGGCGAAGGCGGCUCUCUGGAACACAACUGACACUGAGGCACGAAAGCGUGGGGAGCGAACAGGAUUAGAUACCCUGGUAGUCCACGCCGUAAAUGGUGCGCACUUGGUGUGGGGAGUAUUGACCCUCUCCGUGCCGGAGCUAACGCGUUAAGUGCGCCGCCUGGGGAGUACGGCCGCAAGGCUAAAACUCAAAGAAAUUGACGGGGGCCCGCACAAGCGGAGGAGCAUGUGGCUUAAUUCGAUGCAACGCGAAGAACCUUACCAGGGCUUGACAUGCAGCUGCAUGCCCCCUGAAAGGGGGGAGGCCUUCGAGGGUGCUGCACAGGUGGUGCAUGGCUGUCGUCAGUUCGUGCCGUGAGGUGUUGGGGUAAGUCCCGCAACGAACGCAACCCCUGUGUCUAGUUGCCACCGCGGGUGAUGAGCCCGCGAGCACUCUAGAUGUACUGCCCGUGUAAGCGGGAGGAAGGUGGGGAUGACGUCAAGUCAGUAUGUCCCUUAUGCCCUGGGCUGCACACGUGCUACAAUGGCUGGUACAAUGCGAAGCAAUACCGCGAGGUGGAGCAAAUCGUCAAAACCGGCCCCAGUUCGGAUUGGAGUCUGCAACUCGACUCCAUGAAGUCGGAUUCGCUAGUAAAGGCGUAUCAGCUACGACGCCUUGAAUACGUUCCCGGGCCUUGUACACACCGCCCGUCACAUCAUGAAAGCCGUCUGCACCCGAAGUCGCUGGUCCAAUUCCGUUUCGGCGGAAAGGAAGGUGCCGAAGGUGUGGGUGGUGAUUGGGAUGAAGUCGUAACAAGGUA
RNAcentral lists this ribosomal RNA (1543 nucleotides) under metagenome. RNAcentral describes it as "bacterial SSU rRNA". It matches the Rfam family "Bacterial small subunit ribosomal RNA". The record is from RNAcentral.